Molecule: long non-coding RNA, 1158 nt
Filed under: Ornithorhynchus anatinus (platypus)
Lineage: Eukaryota; Metazoa; Chordata; Mammalia; Monotremata; Ornithorhynchidae
Description: lncRNA (ENSOANG00000037622.1)
Source: RNAcentral
AUGGGGUGGAGUCUCACGGGGGUGGGGUCUUCUCCGACGGAGGCCACUAUCUUCUGCACCACCAUCUUGCAGGUCACACACUUGAUAAACGGUUCUUUGCUCUGGAGGCCCUGUGGGGGAAGCGGGGGGGCGGGGGUGUCGGUCCCUCUAAACAACACGUCCGCGGGACCUGUCUGUGCCUCCCCCGGGGUGGGCCGGAGGACGGACGGAGCCAGGGGCAAUCUAGCCUGGAACACCUUCUCCCUCCACCCGCACCCACCCCCCGAGGGGCCUUCAUCAGAACUUGAUGCCCACGCAGACGUCCCGGGGAGACUUGCCCAGCCGAACAGCAAUGGCGAUGGGGAGCAAGUAUUUCAACAUGAGAGUCUGGCAGGACUUCCGGAGGAUAAAACUCACAAACUUGCACAACUGGUUCUCCGCACGCUUAAUCGCCUCCUGCAGGCAAACACAGCCGGGGGAUGGAUGGUCAGGGGCCCAAACUCGGGGGCGACACCACUCUCUUGAUGGGCAAGGACAAGGAGUGAGAGGGAUCCAUGUGGCUCUUCACCUGGAAUUCUGGGUCCCCCGGGCCCCCCGCACCACCGACAGCCCUCCACCUGUCAGGCUGGGGUGAAUGGGCGCUGUGGGUGGGGCCGCUGAGUUCGACUACCUCCCCCAACUCGGUCAGAGGCCCCUGGGGCAAGGGAUGGGACUCACCAUGUCCUUGGUGUUGUUCCCAACCAUGUCCUUAAGUUUCUGCAUGAUGAUCUGACAGCUGCUACAGGUCACUUGGGCUGAUCCCUCCUGGUCAAGCAGACAGACACCCACUGUGUUUGCUCCACCUCUCCCGCCUGUCACCCUGUCCUCCCGCCCGUCUAGUCGCCAGGGGCCCAGGGUGGCUCUCCAGGCUGAAUUUGGGGACGCGGGGCCAGGGUAGGGGGCCUGGGAUGGGAACAGAGUGGCGAGGGGGCCAGGGCAGGGAGCGGGGAAGUCCAAAGGGGGGCCAGGGGCUCGGAGUGGGAGCAGGCCGAAGGGUGAGGCUCACCAAGAAGGAGCUGUCUUGCUGGUGCUGCUGGCUCUGGAGGGUGGGUUCCUGCCGAUGAUCCUUGGAGAUCAGGCCUGUGCUAGCCCAGGCUGGCCAUGAGAAAAACAGAGACUUAGAGAUCAAGGCCGAAGGCA